GUGGCUAUAGUUUAACGGUAAAACUUCGGUUUGUGGAACCGAUGUCAAGGGUUCAACUCCCUUUAGCCACC
RNAcentral lists this transfer RNA (71 nucleotides) under Minisyncoccota bacterium. RNAcentral describes it as "tRNA-His". It matches the Rfam family "tRNA". From Rfam's summary of the family: Transfer RNA (tRNA) molecules are approximately 80 nucleotides in length. Lineage: Bacteria; Bacillati; Minisyncoccota. The record is from RNAcentral.